RNAcentral lists this ribosomal RNA (505 nucleotides) under uncultured bacterium. RNAcentral's name for it is "partial 16S ribosomal RNA". It matches the Rfam family "Bacterial small subunit ribosomal RNA", at positions 28 to 507 of the family's 1533-position model. The record is from RNAcentral.
GACGAACGCUGGCGGCGUGCCUAAUACAUGCAAGUAGAACGCACAGUUUAUACCGUAGCUUGCUACACCAUAGACUGUGAGUUGCGAACGGGUGAGUAACGCGUAGGUAACCUGCCUGGUAGCGGGGGAUAACUAUUGGAAACGAUAGCUAAUACCGCAUAAUAUUAAUUAUUGCAUGAUAAUUAAUUGAAAGGUGCAAUUGCACCACUACCAGAUGGACCUGCGUUGUAUUAGCUAGUAGGUGAGGUAACGGCUCACCUAGGCGACGAUACAUAGCCGACCGGAGAGGGUGAGCGGCCAGACUGGGACUGAGACACGCCACAGACGCAUACGGGAGGCAGCAGUAGGGAAUCGGGGGGAAUGGGCGAGAGUCUGACCGAGCAACGCGGCGUCAGUGAGGAGGGUUUUCGGGUGGUGAAGCUCUGUUGUAAGAGAAGAACGGGUGUGAGAGUGGAAAGUACACUGUGUGACGGUAUCUUACGAGGAAGGGACGGCUAACUACGUG